Oncorhynchus keta (chum salmon) is the source of this 563-nucleotide long non-coding RNA. RefSeq lists it as uncharacterized. The record is from RefSeq and is a predicted model, not a curated record. The transcript has 4 exons. Lineage: Eukaryota; Metazoa; Chordata; Actinopteri; Salmoniformes; Salmonidae.
GGUUGUGUGGCCUACCACUCGUUCUGUGAGGUUGUGUGGCCUACCACUCGUUCUGUGAGGUUGUGUGGCCUACCACUCGUUCUGUGAGGUUGUGUGGCCUACCACUCGUUCUGUGAGGUUGUGUGGCCUACCACUCGUUCUGUGAGGUUGUGUGGCCUACCACUCGGAGGUCCCGUUCUGUGAGGUUGUGUGGCCUACCACUCGUUCUGUGAGGUUGUGUGGCCUACCACUCGUUCUGUGAGGUUGUGUGGCCUACCACUCGUUCUGUGAGGUUGUGUGGCCUACCACUCGGAGGUCCCGUUCUGUGAGGUUGUGUGGCCUACCACUCGGAGGUCCCGUUCUGUGAGGUUGUGUGGCCUACCACUCGGAGGUCCCGUUCUGUGAGGUUGUGUGGCCUACCACUCGGAGGUCCCGUUCUGAGAGGUUGUGUGGCCUACCACUCGGAGGUCCCGUUCUGUGAGGUUGUGUGGCCUACCACUCGGAGGUCCCGUUCUGUGAGGUUGUGUGGCCUACCACUCGGAGGUCCCGUUCUGUGAGGUUGUGUGGCCUACCACUCGGAGGUC